This 270-nucleotide long non-coding RNA is filed under the name Elaeis guineensis (African oil palm). RNAcentral's name for it is "long non-coding RNA (EGUI_LNC068458)". The record is from RNAcentral. Lineage: Eukaryota; Viridiplantae; Streptophyta; Magnoliopsida; Arecales; Arecaceae.
UAUAGGUAUAAGUAUCCCUUAGACCUGAGAUCGUCUCAGUGACUUGCAAGCAACUCACUGUGCUUUGGUACUGGACUAACUGAAUUUCUCAUUCAGAGAUGGAAGGCUUCUGGGCACAGUCAAGUACUUGCGAAGUCAGAGUGUGAUCGAGAUGGGAUUGACCACUCCAAGAGUUGGAGAAGAAUGAGUCGCUGUAUUUCAAUUUAGCAAAACCUUGGCCAGGGUAAUCCAUCAGAUGGAUUUGAUAUUUUGAAAUACAAUGUGGACAAC